GGAGAAUUAGCUAAGCUGGCUAGAGCAUACCCUUCAUACGGGUAAGGUACUUGGUUCAACCCCAAGAUUCUCCACCA
This 77-nucleotide transfer RNA is filed under the name Gammaproteobacteria bacterium. Its description in RNAcentral is "tRNA-Met". The record is from RNAcentral. Lineage: Bacteria; Pseudomonadati; Pseudomonadota; Gammaproteobacteria.